RNAcentral lists this small RNA (132 nucleotides) under Escherichia coli. RNAcentral's name for it is "RtT sRNA". It matches the Rfam family "RtT RNA". Rfam says of the family: This family represents a bacterial cis-regulatory element known as RtT RNA. The exact function of RtT is unknown although it is thought that it may be involved in changing the cellular response in relation to amino acid starvation. Lineage: Bacteria; Pseudomonadati; Pseudomonadota; Gammaproteobacteria; Enterobacterales; Enterobacteriaceae. The record is from RNAcentral.
AUUCUGCCCAUACGGGGAAGGAUGAGAAGCUUCGACCAAGGUUCGACUCGAGCGCCAGCGAGAGAGCGUUGCCGCAGGCAACGACCCGUAGGGCGAAGCGCGCAGCGCUGAGUAAUCCUUCCCCCACAACCA